RNAcentral lists this ribosomal RNA (910 nucleotides) under uncultured marine archaeon. Its description in RNAcentral is "bacterial SSU rRNA". It matches the Rfam family "Archaeal small subunit ribosomal RNA", at positions 5 to 921 of the family's 1478-position model. The record is from RNAcentral.
CGGUUGAUCCUGCCGAAGGCUACUGCUAUUGGAGUUCGAUUAAGCCAUGCGAGUCGAGAGUCUUAGGGACUCGGCGCACCGCUCAGUAACACGUGGGUAACCUGCCCUAUGCUGGGGGAUAACCUCGGGAAACUGAGAAUAAUACCCCAUAGUUCACCACGCCUGGAACGGUGGGUGGACCAAAGCUCCGGCGGCAUAGGAUGGGCUGCGGCGUAUCAGGUUGUAGGGGGUGUAAUGUACCCUCUAGCCCUCUACGCGUACGGGUGUUGAGAGACAUCGCCCGGAGAUGGAUUCUGAGACACGAAUCCAGACCCCACGGGGUGCAGCAGGCGCGAAAACUUGGCAAUGCGAGAAAUCGUGACCAGGGAACUCCAAGUGCAUCGGGUAAGACCGAUGCUUUUCUUGACUCUUCAAAGGUCUUGGAAUAAGGGGUGGGUAAGGACGGUGCCAGCCGCCGCGGUAAUACCGGCGCCCCAAGUGGUAGUCGCUUUUAUUGGGCCUAAAACGUCCGUAGCCGGUCUGGUACAUUCGUGGGUAAAUCAACCAGCUCAACUGGUUGAAUUCUGCGAGCACGGCCAGACUUGGGACCGGGAGAGGUGUGGGGUACUCUCAGGGUAGGGGUAAAAUCCUGUCAUCCUGAGAGGACCACCUGUUGCGAAGGCGCCACACUAGAACGGAUCCGACGGUCAGGGACGAAGCCUAGGGGCACGAACCGGAUUAGAUACCCGGGUAGUCCUAGGUGUAAACGCUGUGGACUUGAUGUUGGGGGCGCUCCGAGCGCACUCAGUGUCGAAGCGAAGGUGAUAAGUCCACUGCCUGGGGAGUACGGUCGCAAGGCUGAAACUUAAAGGAAUUGGCGGGGGAGCACCGCAACCUGAGGAUUGUGCGGUUUAAUUGGAGUCAACGCCGG